Molecule: long non-coding RNA, 804 nt
Organism: Mytilus californianus (California mussel)
Lineage: Eukaryota; Metazoa; Mollusca; Bivalvia; Mytilida; Mytilidae
Exons: 9
Source: RefSeq, a predicted model, not a curated record
CGAACUUCGUCGUGUGCCGAUAACUCCAUUCAAAAAUCAUUUCUUUAAACCUGUUGUUACUGGCUAUUUGCGUGUCGAUGUUUGGUUUAAGUACACAUUCAUAUAAAUGAAUUCUUAUGUGCACCAUUUUAUUUGAUGAGGAACAUUUGCACUUAUCGGUAACAUCUUUUUGGUCCUGUAGAAACCACUGGUAACGUUGUCGUACCAUCCUGUACCAUUGUUUCACACUGUCAUUUAAAGUGUUCCUUCAUUGGUGUAGAUCAAAUGAAGUAACAGCUAUUUUUUCGAGAGAGAUCUGAACGUAAUGGUGGCUUCUUCAUUAGUGUGAAAAUAAUUUGGCCCUAUAGAUACAAUUGAAAAAGUCGUCGAAUAUCCCUGUACCAUUGUGCCACACUGUCAUUGGAAUAUUUCAUGCAUUGAUUAAGAUUAAAUGCAGUAACAGUAUUUGUGGAUGCAUUUUAGAAAUAUCUGAUUUUCUCAGAAGCUUUUUUUGUGUGUGACAUAAUGGCUAGUUGGAAUGAGAAACUUAUUAAAGCUGCCCGUGAAGGAAGUUUAACAGAUUUGAAACUAUCCUUUGAAAAGGGAGCUGAUUUGGAAUGUAGAGAUGAAGAUAGAGAUACACCAUUAUCAAAUGCUGCCUACUUUGGACACCUGGAGAUCGUCACAUUCCUUGUUUCAGUAGACUGUGAUAGAGAAACAAGAAAUAAGGAAGGAGUUACACCACUGUCGCAUGCUGCCUACUCUGGCCACCUGGAGAUCGUCCAAUAUUUAGUCACGGUCGGCUGUGAUAAAGAGACAAAAGAA